CAAUGGGGGGUACGAGAGGGCCGCUACCACGCGAGUGGAUGCCAAUCCCAAAAACCUCUCUCAGUUCGGACUGGAGUCUGCAACCCGACUCCACGAAGCUGGAUUCGCUAGUAAUCGCGCAUCAGCCACGGCGCGGUGAAUACGUUCCCGGGCCUUGUACACACCGCCCGUCAAGCCAUGGGAGCCGGGGGUACCUGAAGUGCGUAACCGCGAGGAGCGCCCUAGGGUAAAACUGGUGACUGGGGCUAAGUCGUAACAAGGUAGC
This 265-nucleotide ribosomal RNA is filed under the name uncultured bacterium. RNAcentral describes it as "partial 16S ribosomal RNA". It matches the Rfam family "Bacterial small subunit ribosomal RNA", at positions 1228 to 1500 of the family's 1533-position model. The record is from RNAcentral.